Molecule: long non-coding RNA, 2988 nt
Filed under: Sparus aurata (gilthead seabream)
Lineage: Eukaryota; Metazoa; Chordata; Actinopteri; Spariformes; Sparidae
Description: lncRNA (ENSSAUG00010001732.1)
Source: RNAcentral
CAUGUUUUUAAAUGACUUGUCUGCACAAAAAUGUUAUCAAUCUGACCUUUAAAUGUUUUUGGCACUCAGAGCAACACAAGCUGAAUGCCAUCCAGUGUCGUUCCAUUAUAUUUUGAGAGAAGGCGGGCAUCUCUGCUGUCAAUAUCUCCCAACACAAGACAGCUCACACCAAAACAAUCAAUAUGUAUAAAAAGCACCACAGGUAAGAGGACAAACAUUUUGUUUUUCAUUUUGGGGUGAACUGUCCCUUUUAGCACACUCACCUGCUCAGAUGUCAGCCCCACAGUCUUGUGAGGAGCUUGUGAUGUUUCUUUGCCCGGGUAUUAAUAGUCUGCAAAUGCAAAAGGAAAUACCUCGCUCAGACGUUUGCAGCCAACCGACGUCAGAGAUUCCUGGUUGACAUGAGAUGUGAAGGAGCUGUGCCCUGACUGCACUCGUCCUCGUGUCUCACGUCAGGCUGUGUAGCGGUGCUGACUCUGGUAUCCGCUUAAUCAGCCCACACAUGCAAUAACUCACGCACCUGUACACCGAGUACAAUCCAAUACAGCUGCCCUGCAACAACAGUACCAACUGUACGGGGAGCAUGAUGUUCAUUUUUGCAGUUCUACUAUAUGUGAAGGGGCUGACAGAGCUGCUGGAUACAGACACACUGAGCGAGAUGCACAUCCUGUUUCGAUUCAACCUCUGGAACCUACGGGAAAAGAAAAAGAAAAAACAGAUUCACAAUCACCUCUCCACCUCUGAUAUUAUAGCCUCCACUCGCUGCUAUUACUGCUGGGGAAAUGAAAAAGGCCAUCACUGUCAUUUCCAGGCACUAUGGGCAAUAUAGAUACAGGAGUAAGUCGACAGUACCUUUACAACGGUGGGAGUUUGUUUUGGCUCCGGCUUGUGUGCUAAGAGACGAGACAGCCCCUCACAAGGUAUGUCAUGUUCCUUCUCUGGCAACUUCUCAUCCUGUGCGUCCUGAUGGGAAAAGACUUUUCUCAACCGUGGACUUGUAAAGAUUGUUCCAUAUAAACCACUGUACAUACAAUAUAGCUAUAUAUGUUGAAUGUGUAGAAGGCUUAACAAUCUGUUUAUUGCACCAAGUGUAAUGCGACAACAAGAGACAAAUUAGUGAUUUUGGUCGAACACUGAUCAUUCUGCCCUUUCUUAAAUAUGUAAAAGUAGUGAUGCCAAUGUGUAGACAUAUUUAGUUAAAGGAAUAUGUCAUGCAAUUAAAAUUUUACUUAAAGGUGUCACUCGUAAUAUAUGGCCAGGAUUCGGAGGUACUGUAGCUGCAAAAAACAGCUAGCUAUCCACUCUAGCUAGUUACUGUUAGCUUGUUAGGCCACGGCUCAGUUAGCCGUGGAGGCUGCUGACCCAAAGUUGAGGACUAAUUAUGACCAGCCCACAGGGGUUGUGGAGAAGACAAACCAAGACUGAUUCAGUCAGUUUUAUUUAUUUUAUGUCAAGUCUGUUUUACAAUGAGAUACGUGACAAUUAAGCUUGUCUUAGUUUGGUAAAAGACUUACAUUCAGACAGUGUAUGGUUGUAUUUUUCUUUUUUGUAAGGAAAAGAGAAGUUGUAGUUUUUUAUUUCUUGACAUUUUGUGAGUAUCUUGUACAUUUAUUACACUAACAGUUGACAUUGUCUAUAUCUGGCACCUGAAACUAAGAGAGCUAUCUGAUGAACACAUCUUGGGGUACAAAGUGGUAUAACGUUAUUUAGGCUAGCUGGUUAGAGGGCUAACUUCAGUAGUCAUCUCUGCAACAGGGCACAUAAACAUGUUUGAUAACCUCAGUUAAUUUUUUGACUCUUUUCAACUAAAAUUACCUCCAUAUCUCACAAGUGUCCCCGUCUGAGUGAAACUCCAUACACAUAUUGUCAUCAAAACAUACAUAAAGUAAAGUUCCCGCUUCCCACUUCUCUAUUUUUAUUUUUAUUAAUCAUUAACACUGAUAGGGAAAGCAUCUAAUACAUCAGAAACAAAUGGAAUUUAAGUGAAAUAAAGGUCACCACGGCUUCAUCAGCAAACUCUUUUAAUUUCCUUACAAAAGUCAUAUUCAUUCAAAUUCAUAUUUCGCCCCUCUUCCUCUUGAGUCCCCCCUGCAGUGGCUCUAUGCCCAACAUCCAGUUUGAGAACUGCUGAUCUAUGAUAUUAUGAAUAUUAAUACGUCAUCAUUGAUUUAUUUUCUUGAUUAUAAUCUAUAUUAAUAAUAUGAAUCUGGAAAAUUAGCAACUAAAGCUGUCAGAUACACGCAGUAAAGUAGCAAUGCAAAAUAGAAUGAACUUUAACUACAAGUAUAUCGAAAUUGUAGAUAAUAGUACAGUAGCUAAGUAAAUAUACUUAGUUACUGUCUGCCACCGGAUCUUAUGCUGUUCAAACAAAGCUGACUUCGCCGGACUCAGCAUAAAACACAUCUUGCCGGGAGCCACCAGGGCCACUGUCCACACUCAGCACCUCUGCCUGCAACGACCGCGGAUCGCCAAUUUCCUUUUGCAUCGCGCAAAGUAAUUGGGAAACUUGACAGAUGUCGUGAGAGGCAAGAGGGGGCAGGAACAGGUGACCCCCCCUCGCCACCCAAACUGAUGACAUGGCUUACCUUGACAGCUGAAAGAGAGGCUCUGCUCCACCCACUCCCAAUCUGUCUGGGUCCGUGUGCUCACCAAAAGUAAUGAAUCUUCCAUCCGGCGCGCGUGCCUCCAUUGAACUCUGGUGAGUCCAGACCACUGAGGAGGACGGAGACAGAAAAUGACAGCAGUGCUCUCACGGCAAAACUCUAUUCAUCUUUGAGACAAACUGGUAGAGUUUUGGCCUCGUGGCGGUAGAGCAAACAACCUGAACAAGAAGACCUGCAGCUGACAUUGUUAUCUCCUAAAGUAGUUUUGGCUGACAUGCUGGCAAAUGAUGGUGUCAUUGUUGGUCAACACAGCAGCUAGUAUUUGUUGACUUCCUUAUUUUGCUAUUUAGUUGCUAACCAUAUCAGUCUGGGUAUGUUUGCACAG